This 437-nucleotide ribosomal RNA is filed under the name uncultured Clostridium sp. Its description in RNAcentral is "partial 16S ribosomal RNA". It matches the Rfam family "Bacterial small subunit ribosomal RNA", at positions 341 to 792 of the family's 1533-position model. The record is from RNAcentral. Lineage: Bacteria; Bacillati; Bacillota; Clostridia; Eubacteriales; Clostridiaceae.
ACGGGAGGCAGCAGUGGGGAAUAUUGGGCAAUGGGGGCAACCCUGACCCAGCAACGCCGCGUGAAGGAAGAAGGCUUUCGGGUUGUAAACUUCUUUUACCAGGGACGAAGAAAGUGACGGUACCCGGAGAAAAAGCUACGGCUAACUACGUGCCAGCAGCCGCGGUAAUACGUAGGUAGCAAGCGUUGUCCGGAUUUACUGGGUGUAAAGGGCGUGUAGGCGGAGAUGCAAGUCAGGAGUGAAAUCUAUGGGCUUAACCCAUAAACUGCUUUUGAAACUGCAUCCCUUGAGUAUCGGAGAGGCAGGCGGAAUUCCUAGUGUAGCGGUGAAAUGCGUAGAUAUUAGGAGGAACACCAGUGGCGAAGGCGGCCUGCUGGACGACAACUGACGCUGAGGCGCGAAAGCGUGGGGAGCAAACAGGAUUAGAUACCCUGGUA